RNAcentral lists this ribosomal RNA (369 nucleotides) under Triticum aestivum (bread wheat). RNAcentral's name for it is "partial small subunit ribosomal RNA". The record is from RNAcentral. Lineage: Eukaryota; Viridiplantae; Streptophyta; Magnoliopsida; Poales; Poaceae.
AUGGAGGAGAUAAAAAGCUUGGACCUCUCACACAACAAGUUGAGUGGACCAAUACCUUGGCCGUUGACCCAGUUAUCAGCUCUGGACCUCUCACACAACAACUUGUCAGGAUGCAGACCAAACUCUGGUCAGCUCAGCUCAUUCGGCAUGGACAGCUACCUAGGCAACACCAACCUUCACAAUAUUACUCAGGGGAAUACUUGUGCUGCUCCCGGUCCAGAUCCUGCUGUGGGGAAAGUUGUGGAAGAGACAGCCAGUGACCCAGUUCUAUAUGUGGUCACAGCUGCUGGCUUUGUGUUGACAUUUUGGGCCACUCUCGGGUUCUCAUUUUGCCAUCCUUACGGAAAAUCUGUAAUGCUCAAGCUGUAG